AGAGUUUGAUCAUGGCUCAGGAUGAACGCUGGCGGCGUGCCUAAUACAUGCAAGUCGAGCGGCAGCGCAAUCUUCGGAUGGCGGCGAGCGGCGGACGGCUGAGUAACACGUAGGAAUGUACCCCGAAGUGAGGGAUAAGCACCAGAAAUGGUGUCUAAUACCGCAUGUGCUCUAAGGAGUAAAGCUUUUAGCGCUUUGGG
Molecule: ribosomal RNA, 200 nt
Filed under: uncultured bacterium
Lineage: Bacteria
Description: partial 16S ribosomal RNA
Rfam family: Bacterial small subunit ribosomal RNA
Source: RNAcentral